UUCGUGUGGGUUGGCGCCGAGCAAGAGGCGGCUAUGGUCCGCUUGCGAUCGGCGCUUGCAGGCGUUCGAGUCGCCGAUGUGAUG
This 84-nucleotide transfer RNA is filed under the name Armatimonadota bacterium. RNAcentral's name for it is "tRNA-His". Lineage: Bacteria; Bacillati; Armatimonadota. The record is from RNAcentral.